GUCUAUACUCGAUAAUCCACGUAUACCAAACCUUCUCUAGAUAUACAGCAUGUGUACUGCCGUUGUAAGCAUACCUUUAAAAGACUAGUAUGCCACUAUGAUCCAACCCAUACACAUCAGGUCAAAGUGCAGCUAAUAAGAAGGUGAUGAUGGGUUACAACCCCAAAAAAGACUAUCAACUAAGAAAUUAAAAAUCUUACGAAAGUGGACUUGGCCGUAAUCAAUUCAAACUUAAAGAAAUGAAUAAUAUCUAAGACAUGUACACAUCGCCCGUCACUCUAUCCUAAAGGAUAGAUAAGUCGUAACAAAGUAGGUGUAAUGGAAAUUGUACCUGUCGAAGUAUAGCAUAUAUAAUGCUUUUUACUUACACUAAAAAUAAAGUUAAAACUUACUUCGCCCAAAACAAAUAUCUUAAAAUUAACUUGAAAUAUAAACAAUUAAAUUAGUAUUAAAUAAGUACAGAAAUGGAAAUAGUAAUAAAUAAAAGUAAAUUUUAACAAAUAUACCUUGUGCAUUAUGGUUUUACAAGAAAAAAAUUAAAAUAUAAAUCCCGAAUUCUAAAUGAGAUGUUAAACUGCUGUAACGAACCCAUUAUUAACUGUAAAAAAAGUUUUAAUAGACAGCUUAACAGAGGCUACAUACCAUCCGCAUAAGAAUAUAGCUGGUUUUCAACAAACAUUAUACAUUAAAACAUAUAAUAAUAUUAUAAUGUAAAAUUAUCGAGGAUAAGCCCAAUAAUAAAUGUAAUAUUAACAUAUUCUAAUAUAUAUUAUAGGCCUAAAAUCAGCCAAUAAAAAUACUUUACCGUAAAUAUAUUGACAAAAUAAAUGUUAUAAUAUACUAAAUAAAGUUGAAAUAGUGGGAAAACCAAACACCUGUACAUAAAAUGUAAAAAUAAGUAUUAUAAAAAAUAAUUAAAUGAAUCUAGAAACAACAUCAUACAUAUUAAAUAUAAUUAAUUAAGGAACUCGGCAAAUUAUUAUUUCGACUGUUUAACAAAAACAUUGUCUUAUGAGCACAAUAUAAGAUAAUACCUGCCCAGGACAAUGCCCCGGGGGCG
This 1060-nucleotide ribosomal RNA is filed under the name Amynthas sp. FJ201108-05. RNAcentral describes it as "partial 12S ribosomal RNA". Lineage: Eukaryota; Metazoa; Annelida; Clitellata; Crassiclitellata; Megascolecidae. The record is from RNAcentral.